This 266-nucleotide ribosomal RNA is filed under the name uncultured bacterium. Its description in RNAcentral is "partial 16S ribosomal RNA". It matches the Rfam family "Bacterial small subunit ribosomal RNA", at positions 94 to 354 of the family's 1533-position model. The record is from RNAcentral.
AGUGGCGAACGGGUGAGUAACACGUGGGCAACCUGCCCAAAANAGGGGGAUAACACUUGGAAACAGGUGCUAAUACCGCAUAACCAUAGUUACCGCAUGGUAACUAUGUAAAAGGUGGCUAUACUACCGCUUUUGGAUGGGCCCGCGGCGCAUUAGCUAGUUGGUAGGGUAAAGGCUUACCAAGGCAAUGAUGCGUAGCCGAAUUGAGAGGUUGAUCGGCCACAUUGGGACUGAGACACGGCCCAAACUCCUACGGAAGGCAGCAG